AACGAACGCUGGCGGCAUGCCUAACACAUGCAAGUCGAACGAGACCUUCGGGUCUAGUGGCGCACGGGUGCGUAACGCGUGGGAACCUGCCCUUAGGUUCGGAAUAACUCCCCGAAAGGGGUGCUAAUACCGGAUAAUGUCUUAGGCCCAAAGAUUUCUCGCCUUUGGAUGGGCCCGCGUUGGAUUAGCUAGUUGGUAGGGUAAAAGCCUACCAAGGCGACGAUCCAUAGCUGGUCUGAGAGGAUGAUCAGCCACACUGGGACUGAGACACGGCCCAGACUCCUACGGGAGGCAGCAGUGGGGAAUAUUGGACAAUGGGCGAAAGCCUGAUCCAGCAAUGCCGCGUGAGUGAUGAAGGCCUUAGGGUUGUAAAGCUCUUUUACCCGGGAUGAUAAUGACAGUACCGAGAGAAUAAGCUCCGGCUAACUCCGUG
RNAcentral lists this ribosomal RNA (433 nucleotides) under uncultured bacterium. Its description in RNAcentral is "partial 16S ribosomal RNA". It matches the Rfam family "Bacterial small subunit ribosomal RNA", at positions 29 to 507 of the family's 1533-position model. The record is from RNAcentral.